CCACAUUGGGACUGAAUCCACGGCCCAAACUCCUACGGGAGGCAGCAGUGGGGAAUCUUGGACAAUGGGCGCAAGCCUGAUCCAGCCAUGCCGCGUGAGUGAUGAAGGCCCUAGGGUUGUAAAGCUCUUUCACCGGAGAAGAUAAUGACGGUAUCCGGAGAAGAAGCCCCGGCUAACUUCGUGCCAGCAGCCGCGGUAAUACGAAGGGGGCUAGCGUUGUUCGGAUUUACUGGGCGUAAAGCGCACGUAGGCGGAUCGAUCAGUCAGGGGUGAAAUCCCAGGGCUCAACCCUGGAACUGCCUUUGAUACUGUCGAUCUGGAGUAUGGAAGAGGUAAGUGGAAUUCCGAGUGUAGAGGUGAAAUUCGUAGAUAUUCGGAGGAACACCAGUGGCGAAGGCGGCUUACUGGUCCAUUACUGACGCUGAGGUGCGAAAGCGUGGGGAG
RNAcentral lists this ribosomal RNA (444 nucleotides) under Rhizobium sp. Cs218. RNAcentral describes it as "bacterial SSU rRNA". It matches the Rfam family "Bacterial small subunit ribosomal RNA", at positions 308 to 768 of the family's 1533-position model. Lineage: Bacteria; Pseudomonadati; Pseudomonadota; Alphaproteobacteria; Hyphomicrobiales; Rhizobiaceae. The record is from RNAcentral.